AAGACUUUUAAAAUAGAGACCAACGUGGCCGGGCAGGAAGAGCAGGGUCCCGCCUUCAGGUGUUUGGGACUCAGCUGAGGGUGUGGGUGCCCCGCGGUGGGGGCUGAACCUUCCUGGGGUGUGGAGAGACGAAAGGAGCCCAGAUCCAAGUUCCCUCGUUCCCGCUUUGGCAUAAGUUGCCCUGGCGGUCUCAUGAGAGAGAGAAAGAGCUGGGACCCUCCUCGCCCCAGUGAGUGUGAUGUCUUGCUCCGGGUGUCCUGGGGCAACUUUCUAUACAGGCGGGACGUGGGAGGAUCAGACAGUGUAACAUCAGACAAGGGUGUUGACUCUGCAGCACAGAACCAGUAGUUUGUGGAGAAGAAUGGAGGUGUGGUGUUGAAUCUGCUAGACAGGCUACUGAAGCAAAAGUCAAGAGAUCCAGAUUCCAUCAUGGGGACACUUUAGAGGAAAAACCUGUUUUCCUGACUGAGUCCCUUUGCUUCCCACCUUAAAAGCCAGUCAAUUCAUGUGGUCCCCAUUCCCAGGAUUCUUGACCCCAGGCUGCGUAUUUCAUUCCAACCGUCAUCACUAAGAAGAUUGAUAUUGGAAAAGCCAUUUCCUAUUGAGCCCAAAAUGAAGAGAGUGCAAAUAAAGAGAAGGCAGGGAUCACAAGCCCUUGACAGACACAUUGCCACCUACAGGACCCUGCACCCAGAUUUCAUCUGCACAAUCAGCUUCUUCAAAGAGAGAGAGGCUGUUGAGUUAGUACCCAUGAGGGCACAAUACUAGAAAUGUGUAAAACUAUAAGUUUUUAAGUCCUAGAAAGUCAUCAUCUGUAAAUGAGACUUUUGGGUAUGCUUUGGGGAGGUUAAGCGGUAGAAUCCCAUUUCUGCUCCAUAUUAGAUGAAUCUGAAAAAAUUGAUUUUCCAUCAGUGAGUUUGAUUUUGUCAUCUGUAAAUUGAGAAUAAUUAUGCCUUCCUCACAGAGUCAUUGUGAGAAAAUUAUGCAAAAAUGUAAUUGUUUGUACAUGUUUAUCUAUAUAUGUGUCAUAAAAAAAUGUGCCCUUUUGCACUUUUUUUCUCUUAAAA
RNAcentral lists this long non-coding RNA (1067 nucleotides) under Homo sapiens (human). RNAcentral describes it as "HSALNT0408336". The record is from RNAcentral. Lineage: Eukaryota; Metazoa; Chordata; Mammalia; Primates; Hominidae.